GACUGGUCCAAAGGUAGUGAGUUAUCUCAAUUAACUGUUCACAGUUACAGAUCGAACUCCUUAUUCUACUCUUGCUUCCUUCUCACUACUGCACUUGACUAGUAUUAA
RNAcentral lists this Y RNA (108 nucleotides) under Propithecus coquereli (Coquerel's sifaka). RNAcentral describes it as "Y RNA (ENSPCOG00000009628.1)". It matches the Rfam family "Y RNA". Rfam says of the family: Y RNAs are components of the Ro ribonucleoprotein particle (Ro RNP), in association with Ro60 and La proteins. The Y RNAs and Ro60 and La proteins are well conserved, but the function of the Ro RNP is not known. Lineage: Eukaryota; Metazoa; Chordata; Mammalia; Primates; Indriidae. The record is from Rfam by way of RNAcentral.